GCCUAACACAUGCAAGUCGAACGGCAGCGCGAAGGAAGCUUGCUUUCUUUGGCGGCGAGUGGCGAACGGGUGAGUAAUGUAUCGGAACGUGCCCAGUAGCGGGGGAUAACUGGCCGAAAGGUCAGCUAAUACCGCAUACGCCCUACGGGGGAAAGGGGGGGAUCGCAAGACCUCUCACUAUUGGAGCGGCCGAUAUCGGAUUAGCUAGUUGGUGGGGUAAAGGCCUACCAAGGCGACGAUCCGUAGCUGGUUUGAGAGGACGACCAGCCACACUGGGACUGAGACACGGCCCAGACUCCUACGGGAGGCAGCAGUGGGGAAUUUUGGACAAUGGGGGGAACCCUGAUCCAGCCAUGCCGCGUGCGGGAAGAAGGCCUUCGGGUUGUAAACCGCUUUUGGCAGGAACGAAACGGCGCUCGCCAAUACCGAGCGCUAAUGACGGUACCUGCAGAAUAAGCACCGGCUAACUACGUGCCAGCAGCCGCGGUAAUAC
This 493-nucleotide ribosomal RNA is filed under the name uncultured beta proteobacterium. RNAcentral describes it as "bacterial SSU rRNA". It matches the Rfam family "Bacterial small subunit ribosomal RNA", at positions 46 to 526 of the family's 1533-position model. Lineage: Bacteria; Pseudomonadati; Pseudomonadota; Betaproteobacteria. The record is from RNAcentral.